GAUGCGGUAGCCGAGAGGUCAGGCGCCUGUCCGCAAGACAGGAUACGAGGGUUCGAUUCCUUCCCGCAUCU
RNAcentral lists this transfer RNA (71 nucleotides) under Candidatus Roizmanbacteria bacterium RIFCSPHIGHO2_01_FULL_35_10. RNAcentral describes it as "tRNA-Cys". It matches the Rfam family "tRNA". Rfam says of the family: Transfer RNA (tRNA) molecules are approximately 80 nucleotides in length. The record is from RNAcentral. Lineage: Bacteria; Candidatus Roizmaniibacteriota.